ACGCCUGCCCCACAGGAAGAUCACCCCACUGUAGAAGUCGGGUCACGGGGACCAGCGGCGAGCUACCUGAGGGCUUGACUGCAAACACCCUCCCGACGAAAACCGUGGACUCCCGGGGUGCGAGCGUGUGACCGUGUGGGGGGGGUGUUGGCAGACGGUCCCCAUAGUAAUCGAACAACCAGGUGGAAGAACCUCAGGCCUCGCACUCUGGGGCUCUCAGAGUCUGGGCGUUGCAGCCGCUCCCGUACACCCCCGGGUCACCUGGCUGAAUCCGGUGGGAGCUGCUGAGGUGCCGGGAGGUCUCCCAGGCUGGCGCUCCCGUCCAGCUGCUGGUGGAGGCGCGGGUGCGAGGCUUGGGACAAGGGAGAGCUAUGCCGGGUGGGGCAGACCCUUGGGGCGGGUCGGUUCACCCGAAAUGUUCACUGUGGGAAGAGCCGAAAGCCAGCCACGGCACCAGGAGAGUCCAGCGUGGAGAGGCAGAGAGGAAGGGCGAGUGCAGCGGCGCUCGCAGACGGCGGAGCAAGAUCGCCGGGAGUGCGAAUGGAAACAGGGGCAUUGUUUCCUCGGAGUCGCUUAACCACCAUCCCACGCUGUUUUACAGCAGUGUAGGAAAUGUCUCUGCUGGUGACACAAAAAUAAACCUGUGGCUCAGCUCUGAGUAGAUUAUCGCGAAUUUUACAGCAGGAAAUCCGUAUCGCUAUUUUUACUACUAAAUAAACCAGUGCAAUUAAAGCGCGCAGGGCGAGAGUAUGUCGAGGCGAGCACAGAGGAGCGCGCCCGCCCAGGCUUGCCCUGAGGGCGGCGAGGGCUGUGAGCCAGGACCCCGGGCCCUGCACCGCGGGAGCGCGCGCGCGUGGGUCCAGCCUCCUAGCUGUGCGACAACCCGGUGGCCAAAGUCACCACGAGAAGACAGAGUUCCCGGUCAUCGGUCGUUUCUGCCUUACACUUUCCUACAUUUCCUGAACAUUUUGCAAAUGGUUUUGAUCCCGAACGGUGUCCAGCGGUGGCAUCACCAAGAUUUCCGGGAGUGCUAGGGAUUGGGAAGAAUCGUGGAUAGGAGACUAAGCGAGCCGUCCCGGAAGCAACAGUUGCUGGGUCUUGCUCUGUCACCCAGGUUGGAGUGUAGUGGCACAA
Molecule: non-coding RNA, 1134 nt
Organism: Macaca mulatta (Rhesus monkey)
Lineage: Eukaryota; Metazoa; Chordata; Mammalia; Primates; Cercopithecidae
Source: RefSeq, a predicted model, not a curated record